GCUUGGCCCUUAACACAAAUAGCACUAACACAAUGCUAUCCGCCAGAGAACUACAAGUGAAAAGCUUAAAACUCCAAGGACUUGGCGGUGCUCCAUACCGACCUAGAGGAGCCUGUCCUAUAAUCGAUACUCCCCGCUCUACCUUACCAUUUUUUGAAGUUCAGCCUAUAUACCGCCGUCGUCAGCCUACCUUAUGAAAGAUAAAAAGUAGGCAUAACAGUUAUUUACUAAUACGUCAGGUCAAGGUGUAGCAUAUGAAAUGGAAGAGAUGGGCUACAUUUUCUGCCCUAGAACACACGAAUCCCGCGGUGAAACCCGCCCUUAAAGGAGGAUUUAGCUGUAAGAUAAACAAGAGAGUUUACCUAAACCCCGCUCUGGAGCGCGCACACACCGCCCGUCA
Molecule: ribosomal RNA, 400 nt
Filed under: Eutropis madaraszi
Lineage: Eukaryota; Metazoa; Chordata; Lepidosauria; Squamata; Scincidae
Description: partial 12S ribosomal RNA
Rfam family: Bacterial small subunit ribosomal RNA
Source: RNAcentral